GAUAUCUUGAAAGAAUGGUGUAUCUAACUCUGCACAUUCGUUUGGUGGUCUAAUAUUCUGCACAAUGUGGUUUGCCAAAUCUUCAGGCACUUGGAAAUAUAAGGCUCCCAGCUCAGUCCAAUUAUCGAACCAGAAUUGAGCAG
Non-coding RNA from Nicotiana tabacum (common tobacco), 143 nucleotides. Lineage: Eukaryota; Viridiplantae; Streptophyta; Magnoliopsida; Solanales; Solanaceae. The record is from RefSeq and is a predicted model, not a curated record.